AUACUUACCUAGCAGGAGAGGUACCAUGAUCAGAAAAGUGGUUCACGCAGGAUACAGUUCAGCCGUUGCACUCCGGUUGUUCUGACCCCAGCGAAUUCUCUAAAUGUGGGAAUCUUGAUUCCAUCAUUUCUGGUACUGGUGGACUGUGUUCGUGCUUUCCCGUG
Molecule: small nuclear RNA, 164 nt
Organism: Syngnathoides biaculeatus (alligator pipefish)
Lineage: Eukaryota; Metazoa; Chordata; Actinopteri; Syngnathiformes; Syngnathidae
Product: U1 spliceosomal RNA
Exons: 1
Source: RefSeq, a predicted model, not a curated record